This 173-nucleotide ribosomal RNA is filed under the name uncultured Bacillota bacterium. Its description in RNAcentral is "uncultured Firmicutes bacterium partial 16S ribosomal RNA". It matches the Rfam family "Bacterial small subunit ribosomal RNA", at positions 339 to 529 of the family's 1533-position model. Lineage: Bacteria; Bacillati; Bacillota. The record is from RNAcentral.
CUACGGGAGGCAGCAGUGGGGAUAUUGCGCAAUGGGGGAAACCCUGACGCAGCGACGCCGCGUGAGCGAAGAAGGCCUUCGGGUCGUAAAGCUCUGUCCUGGGGAAGAAGGAAUGACGGUACCUGGGGAGGAAGCCCCGGCUAACUACGUGCCAGCAGCCGCGGUAAUAGGUA